Molecule: long non-coding RNA, 327 nt
Organism: Nematostella vectensis (starlet sea anemone)
Lineage: Eukaryota; Metazoa; Cnidaria; Anthozoa; Actiniaria; Edwardsiidae
Exons: 2
Source: RefSeq, a predicted model, not a curated record
AAAUAAAAAUGACUAAUGGGUGCAGAUGAAAAGUUUCCGCGAUGAAGCACAUAACGAGAAAAAGUUGACAGAAAUUGACUUGAACGGGGAGCCAACUCAGCUCAGCGCAUUGUUUAUUCAGCAUUGGCUUUGAACUUUGCUUGUGAAUACCAAUUAGAUCACGUAGUCUUCAAUACUCCUAGUAGUCACACAGGUAGCCCAGGCAAUGGUUUUGAAGCUUGUUCGUAGCUUGGAAUAGGCUGGGCUGUUAUUCUGAGAGGUAAAACGAGUUGAUUGAAGUAGGGAUUUUGUGAAAUAUUGCCAAUAAAAUUGCCUUAAAACUUGGAA